Molecule: ribosomal RNA, 432 nt
Filed under: uncultured bacterium
Lineage: Bacteria
Description: partial 16S ribosomal RNA
Rfam family: Bacterial small subunit ribosomal RNA
Source: RNAcentral
CCUACGGGAGGCUGCAGUGGGGAAUUUUGGACAAUGGGGGCAACCCUGAUCCAGCAAUGCCGCGUGUGUGAAGAAGGCCUUCGGGUUGUAAAGCACUUUUUCGAGAGUCGCGGUACCGGAAGAAUAAGCACCGGCUAACUACGUGCCAGCAGCCGCGGUAAUACGUAGGGUGCAAGCGUUAAUCGGAAUUACUGGGCGUAAAGCGUGCGCAGGCGGUUUGUUAAGACGGAUGUGAAAUCCCCGGGCUCAACCUGGGAACUGCAUUCGUGACUGGCAGGCUAGAGUAUGGCAGAGGGGGGUGGAAUUCCACGUGUAGCAGUGAAAUGCGUAGAGAUGUGGAGGAACACCGAUGGCGAAGGCAGCCCCCUGGGCCAAACUGACGCUCAUGCACGAAAGCGUGGGGAGCAAACAGGAUUAGAUACCCUUGUAGUC